Molecule: unclassified non-coding RNA, 261 nt
Filed under: uncultured Onygenales
Lineage: Eukaryota; Fungi; Ascomycota; Eurotiomycetes; Onygenales
Description: sequence contains 5.8S rRNA gene, ITS2, 28S rRNA gene
Rfam family: 5.8S ribosomal RNA (bases 1-52)
Source: RNAcentral
AACGCACAUUGCGCCCUCUGGUAUUCCGGAGGGCAUGCCUGUCCGAGCGUCAUUGCAACCCUUCAAGCCCGGCUUGUGUGUUGAACGGCGGUCCCUAGCCUGGGACCGGUUCUAAAAGCAGUGGCAGCGUUCGCGACCGCGGUAGCCCGAGUGUAUGGGAAUUUCUCUAUUGCACGCUUGAAAGGCCCCGGUUAUCGCUAGCCGUGAGUUAUUUUCUUAUUGGUUGACCUCGGAUCAGGUAGGAGUACCCGCUGAACUUAA